Molecule: ribosomal RNA, 231 nt
Filed under: uncultured bacterium
Lineage: Bacteria
Description: partial 16S ribosomal RNA
Rfam family: Bacterial small subunit ribosomal RNA
Source: RNAcentral
CGGGUGAGUAACGCGUGGAUAACCUGCCUCACACUGGGGGAUAACAGUUAGAAAUGACUGCUAAUACCGCAUAAGCGCACAGUACCGCAUGGUACAGUGUGAAAAACUCCGGUGGUGUGAGAUGGAUCCGCGUCUGAUUAGCCAGUUGGCGGGGUAACGGCCCACCAAAGCGACGAUCAGUAGCCGACCUGAGAGGGUGACCGGCCACAUUGGGACUGAGAUACGGCCCAA